AGCUUGGUGUCAUAAACUAUUUGGAUGAGGAUGUGGAUGCACAAAGCAUUUCUAAAGAUCAACUGCCAACAGAAAAAUACAACGGUAUUCAGCUCAGAUGGGCGUCCCAUCGAACACUAUGAGGUGCUUCCGUCGUUUUCUUUUGCUGCUGGUUCUUCCUGAUGUUUCUUCUUCCAGUAUUCAUCAAGUGGUUGUGCAAAUAUAGCUUUCCCAGAUACAACUCCAAUUCUACAGAUUGGCCAAGUAAAAGAUCAGGCUAAUGGAAGUAAAAACAUAAUUCAAGUAAAAGGUGCUACAUUAUUCGCUCUAGUCUAGAGGACAUAAGUUGUAACUUCUGAGCUCCAAGGAAUAAACUUCACAAUGCAGAUGCCAAAGCCAUAUCAGCAACUGCUCUGUUCAAGAAAGGGAUAAAGCUGCAACACUGGAAGAAUACACUAUAUUUAAUCUCCCAUAAUUGUUACCUCUAUUAUGAACAACUUACUCCAGAAAUUUUACUUAGGUUCGAACAAAGUCAUCGCAUACACAUUCUCAUUAAUCUGCUUAGCAUUUUUUUGAGGGGAUAAUCGUGGCUUACAAAAACCCAGCUGAGAAAAGGGCAGAGUUCAUCAAAAGGUAAUGAUUCAAGAAAAGGCAGGCUACCAAUACUUUCAAGAGAUUAGAAUGUCAAAAGUACCAGUAGAAGUAUCAUUACAGCAAACAAGGAAGAAGAGGAAUAGAAAGGCAUAUUAUGCAGCAGUUAUUUGCUAGUGCUACAAGGGAGUACUAACAAAUUCACUGUUAAGUAUCUUGAAGGCUAAAAGAGGCAGCAAUAACUCUUAAGAAACACAAGACAUCCUUAUCUCUAGCAAGGCCCCUCAAAAUCAAAAUGUUGUCAAAGAAAAGAGGAAAAUGAAACACGAAGUUUGACAAAUUUAAUGAUAUCCAUUCAGGUUGAGUAUAUAAGUUAUUAAUGUUCAUUGAAGGUUCAACGGAUAAGAGCUAAAUACUACUGCGGUUAUGCACUUACAUCUGGUGUCUACGCAAAAAAAAUAUUUUCACUCUUCUCUUGGACAAAAAAGGCAUCCAUCCGCAUUUAUAUGCUUGACCUGAAUCUAAGUUAGUAAAACGCUGUGCCCAGCUAAGCAACCCGAACACACACUCAGAGGCAUAACCCCAUCCAAAAAGAUGUUGAAAACAACACCUAUUUUUUAUCUUUAAUUAGAUGGAAAAAUGCUCCUUUACUUAUCUCUGAGUAUAAGACGUAGAUGCACAGUGCAGUACUAUGGAUGCCGGCAGCUUCAACCUGUUAAGGGCAAUGGCAGAACUCUAUUAAUGAUUCUUUUAUUUUUCUUUGAUAAACUUCUUCUCUGUAUCUAACUUGUCAAUAUGUCAAAAUGCACAUUAGUAAAUACACCACAGAUGCAAAAAUGCAUACUUGGCAACCAUACACCAAAUAUAUCAAAAAUCACAUUGUCACAUUGUCUGACAGCCAUAGCAGCAGAAACUUGUCAAAAGGUACAUAUACCAGAAGCUAGGAAGACAAAGGGGUAAAAGUGAGAAGGAAAGCAGGUUUUUCUUUUACUUCUCUUCUUUUUCUCUCAAUAUCUUUUGGCGGGGAGCUUUAGAGGAUGUUCUCCAAUUCACUUUCAGCCAUUGGUCAAGGAAUUCAUUGAUCCAGUGAUCGAGGUCCAGCUGUGAAUAAGGAAGGAGAAACCACAUCUAGUGGAUUGUCUCAUACUCCUUAUUGUCGAUCCCCAAAAAUGCAUAGAUAUUUUAUUGAGGUUUUAAGCUUAAUUUUAGUUGCUCUAAAGGAUAGAUUGCGGGCACCUAUCAUGUUGAUGUCUUCAGCUUUCCGGAAGUCCAGAAUUUUGUCUAGGCAGGUGAAGCAAGCUAAGCACAGACUUAGAUUGUUGGAGGAACAAGAGGAAUCGCAAAUAUCAAGGGAAAGCGAACAGCACAUUAGAUUUAGGACAGGCCAAGAGUGGCCUCUACAAGACACUACUUUGAGACUUGAACCUAUACCACACCUGAAGCUAUCAAUAAAUAACAGAACACUAACAACUGAACAACCAACAAUAGAAAUUCUUUAUCCUUUUAAUCAUUAGAUGAAGGGAAAUCUCUUUAUAUCUUGCGCAUUGAUGAAAACAUUAGUAUGACAUUUCUUCGAGCACGUUAUCUUCACUAGAUGAUCAUGAAAAAAUGGAACUUCCGGUUUAUGGGCUUUAUCUGGUUUUGCCUCUUUGAUGUUCUGGGCAGGGGAAGAGGGUAGUUUCAUUUAGACAUUUCUUCAAACACCUUUGCUCCAAUUCAUGAUUUAAGAAAACCCAGAACACCAAAUAUAAUGGGCUUUUUUUGUGAUUUUCCUCUUGGUUGUUUGAAGAGCGGUACGGAGCAAUAUCCUUGACGGAAUAUGAAUCCAUACUGAUGCAUAUCAUCUGUUAAUCUUAAGCAAAACUUGUAUGGAGGAAGGGUAAUAAAAACUUACAUUACAGCGCCAAUUACCAGCGGAAACGACAAAAAUCUUCUCCUUCCGAACAUGUUCGCUGUACUUCUCUCAGUUCAGUAAUUUCCGUCU
Molecule: long non-coding RNA, 2554 nt
Filed under: Nicotiana tabacum (common tobacco)
Lineage: Eukaryota; Viridiplantae; Streptophyta; Magnoliopsida; Solanales; Solanaceae
Description: long non-coding RNA (NTAB_LNC013907)
Source: RNAcentral